Molecule: long non-coding RNA, 432 nt
Organism: Theobroma umbraticum
Lineage: Eukaryota; Viridiplantae; Streptophyta; Magnoliopsida; Malvales; Malvaceae
Source: RefSeq, a predicted model, not a curated record
GAACGAGGAUGGACAGGAAAUUAGUUGCUGUGCUAUAAUCCAAGACACUAUCAAAUUGAGCAACGCAAAUAUAGCAUCUUAAGGACUUUUAUAGUUUGUUGAGCUCUAAAACAACAAGAGCUUCUUCCAACAGGUGGGUCUCGAGGGUAAGGUGGAAAUAGCAAGGUAUUACAAGCUCUUCAUGCAGUUUCUUGGUGCAAAGGAAAGUGUUGCAACUUGGGAGGAAUAUGGCCUUUUUCUCUUGGGGCUUUUUUUUAUGGUCGAUGACUAAGUGUUCUAGUUUCAUCGGUUUAAAGGGUUUUUACAAUUGUAAAUAGUGAUAACAAAUUAAAUUUACUGAAGUUUUGAAGCCUUUAUGCCAUGUCUAAUGAAGGCAUUAAAUCUUCUAUUUGUAAAUUUAAGGAUUCUCUCCCUAUUUUCAAUGAAUAUUAA